Molecule: ribosomal RNA, 497 nt
Filed under: uncultured bacterium
Lineage: Bacteria
Description: partial 16S ribosomal RNA
Rfam family: Bacterial small subunit ribosomal RNA
Source: RNAcentral
GAUGAACGCUGGCGGCGUGCCUAAUACAUGCAAGUCGAGCGAACAGAUAAGGAGCUUGCUCCUUUGACGUUAGCGGCGGACGGGUGAGUAACACGUGGGUAACCUACCUAUAAGACUGGAAUAACUCCGGGAAACCGGGGCUAAUGCCGGAUAACAUUUAGAACCGCAUGGUUCUAAAGUGAAAGAUGGUUUUGCUAUCACUUAUAGAUGGACCCGCGCCGUAUUAGCUAGUUGGUAAGGUAACGGCUUACCAAGGCAACGAUACGUAGCCGACCUGAGAGGGUGAUCGGCCACACUGGAACUGAGACACGGUCCAGACUCCUACGGGAGGCAGCAGUAGGGAAUCUUCCGCAAUGGGCGAAAGCCUGACGGAGCAACGCCGCGUGAGUGAUGAAGGUCUUCGGAUCGUAGAACUCUGUUAUUCGGGAAGAACAAAUGUGUAAGUAACUGUGCACGUCUUGACGGUACCUAAUCAGAAAGCCACGGCUAACUACGUG